AAGCCUGGUCCUGACUUUACCAUCCGCCCCAACCAGAUUUAUACAUGCAAGUAUCCGCAUCCCCGUGAGAAUGCCCCUAAAAUCCUGCCCGGAAACGAGGAGCAGACAUCAGGCACGCCCGCGCAGCCCAAGACGUCUUGCUUAGCCACACCCCCAAGGGAACUCAGCAGUAAUAAACUUUAGACCAUAAGUGAAAACUUGAUCUAGUUAUGGUUGUCAGAGGGCCGGUAAAACUCGUGCCAGCCACCGCGGUCAUACGAGUGUUAGCCCAAGUGGAUGGUCAACGGCGUAAAGAGUGGUUAGGGGCCUCCAAAACUAAAGCUGAACGCCCUCCGGGCUGUUAUACGCAUCCGAGAGCAUGAAACCCUGCCACGAAGGUGGCUUUAACCUUACCCGAACCCACGACAGCUAGGGCACAAACUGGGAUUAGAUACCCCACUAUGCCUAGUCGUAAACCUUAAUAGAAACUGCACCCAUUCUAUUCGCCAGGGUACUACAAGCACUAGCUUAAAACCCAAAGGACUUGGCGGUGCUUUAGACCCACCUAGAGGAGCCUGUCCUAGAACCGAUACCCCCCGUUCAACCUCACCACUUCUAGCCCAAACCGCCUAUAUACCACCGUCGUCAGCUUACCCCGUGAGGGACUAAUAGUAAGCUAAACUGGCACAGCCCAAAACGUCAGGUCGAGGUGUAGCGCACGAAGUGGGAAGAGAUGGGCUACAUUUUCUGAUCCCCAGAAAACUACGGAAGGAAGAAAUGAAAAGAUUCCUGAAGGAGGAUUUAGCAGUAAGCGGGGAAUAGAGCGCCCCACUGAAAUAGGCCCUUAAGCGCGCACACACCGCCCGUCACUCUCCCCAAUUCCUACCCUGUCAUAACCUAUAGUCUUAAAUGGAUAAAGGGGAGGCAAGUCGUAACAUGGUAAGUGUACCGGAAGGUGCACUUGGACAACACAGGGUGUGGCUAAAUAGCAAAGCACCUCCCUUACACCGAGAAGAUGUCCGUGCAAUUCGGACCACCCUGAUCCUAAAAAGCUAGCCCGCCCCUUAGAGAAACAACCCCCUCUAAAUUAAAUUACCCAUGAAACAAGCAACAAACCAUUUUACUUCCCCAGUACCCGGGCGACAGAAA
Molecule: non-coding RNA, 1128 nt
Filed under: Lampanyctus alatus (winged lanternfish)
Lineage: Eukaryota; Metazoa; Chordata; Actinopteri; Myctophiformes; Myctophidae
Description: partial small subunit ribosomal RNA
Rfam family: Bacterial small subunit ribosomal RNA (bases 1-949)
Source: RNAcentral